Mustela erminea (ermine) is the source of this 746-nucleotide long non-coding RNA. RefSeq lists it as uncharacterized. The transcript is spliced from 3 exons. Lineage: Eukaryota; Metazoa; Chordata; Mammalia; Carnivora; Mustelidae. The record is from RefSeq and is a predicted model, not a curated record.
CUAUCAGAGACCAGGAUGUUCUGGUGGGAUUUGUUGGAAUUCCUCACAUCAAGCUUGGUGUUCUUUUCUACAACAUUUAAAGUUCAAAGGAUGUUAGAUAUAGAGCAGAGGCAACCAUCUUACAAAUAAGAAGGUUUGUGACAUGAAAUCAGACAUUCUGGUCUUACCCCAGUCUUUUUUGAUGUCCAAGAGGAUGCAAAACAAUGUCUUAUCUGAGAAGCAUCAAAUCCUAAUGCUCCUUCCCCUCAGAACACCAUACUCGUUGGUUAUCAGUAUUUAUUUCCUCUCUAUUUUUUUCCUUUCCUGCACGAAGUCAUUCCUACUUUUUUCCCAUCAGACUAUGCCUCUACUCUUUGGAUUGCUAACAAGAUUGUCCUUAUAACCGCAGAAUUUUAGAAUUAGAAUGAAUUUCAGAAACCAUACGGUACCACCCCAGCUCGUUUUUACAAGCCGGAAAACUGAGGCAAUGUGCCAUGCUCUCUGACGUAUCUGGGGACACAUGAGGAUUGAGAAGCAGAAGACUAAGAAGCCAUUUUUUUUUUUCUUUUAAAGGCAGUCUCUCCUGAAAACCCUCAUUUAAAAAAAAUAAGUAUAAUAACUGGACGGAGAAGGAACUUUGGGCUUUUUAGCUCCGUCUAUUGGCUGACUAACCAUGAAACCAGACAGAGUAGGAUUCAGUCAAGGGUAGAAGAAACAAGACACAGAACUGAUGUUCAGGAAUUAUUCUGUUAAAAGCCGCCUUUAUU